UACAGGGGGUGCAAACGUUGCUCGGAAUCAUUGGGCGUAAAGCGCACGUAGGCGGUCUGUUAUGUCGGAUGUGAAAGCCCUCGGCUCAACUGAGGAAGUGCAUCCGAAACUGGCAGGCUAGAGUACUAAAGAGGGUCGCGGAAUUCCCGGUGUAGAGGUGAAAUUCGUAGAUAUCGGGAGGAACACCGGUGGCGAAGGCGGAGACCUGGGCCGAUACUGACGCUGAGGUGCGAAAGCGUGGGGAGCGAACAGG
This 253-nucleotide ribosomal RNA is filed under the name uncultured bacterium. Its description in RNAcentral is "partial 16S ribosomal RNA". It matches the Rfam family "Bacterial small subunit ribosomal RNA", at positions 524 to 776 of the family's 1533-position model. The record is from RNAcentral.